UACGUAGGGAGCGAGCGUUGUCCGGAUUCAUUGGGCGUAAAGAGCUCGUAGGCGGCUUGAUAAGUCGGAUGUGAAACCUCCAGGCUCAACCUGGAGUCGCCAUCCGAUACUGUCAUGGCUAGAGUCCGGAAGAGGCGAGUGGAAUUCCUGGUGUAGCGGUGGAAUGCGCAGAUAUCAGGAGGAACACCGAUGGCGAAGGCAGCUCGCUGGGACGGUACUGACGCUGAGGCGCGAAAGCGUGGGGAGCGAACAGG
RNAcentral lists this ribosomal RNA (254 nucleotides) under uncultured bacterium. RNAcentral's name for it is "partial 16S ribosomal RNA". It matches the Rfam family "Bacterial small subunit ribosomal RNA", at positions 524 to 776 of the family's 1533-position model. The record is from RNAcentral.